Molecule: long non-coding RNA, 1325 nt
Organism: Pongo pygmaeus (Bornean orangutan)
Lineage: Eukaryota; Metazoa; Chordata; Mammalia; Primates; Hominidae
Exons: 3
Source: RefSeq, a predicted model, not a curated record
GUCUUCUCCAGCUGCAACCAAACGCUGUGCACAUAAUCCAGGCUAGGGUAGCCACAUGUUCCCUCCAGGACUUGGACCCUUGACUUGCGGUGCCUCGGAGAGGUGGCGCUGGCUAGCCUGGGACUUCCAACAUACAGCCUACAUUGCUGGCCUGAGACUUGUGGCAAAAAAGACUUUCAAAAUCUAAUUUGCUCACAUACAUGAACACCUGCCAGGAAGGAAUUUGAGGCCUUUGGUCUAAACAUGGAAAAGCUGAGUUCAUUUGCCCCAGAGGGGGCACCUGCAGGGAAAAGAAAAAAUGGUUUUAACCCUUUCCUUGAGUCAGAAAAUGAGGCCACCAGAUUCUCCUUUCAUCCUUCAAGUAUCAGAAAGGUCUGUGCUGUGAAUUCCACAAAUGAGAUUCAUUGCAAGAUGUGAGGGCAGAGGAAAUCCAUGGAAAUGGAGGAAAUGCUCCCUACAGGAAGCUGUCGUGGAGAGUGAAGGAGAUUCCGGAUGCAUGGUAUCUAGCACAGUGUCUGGCAGACUGAGCCUCCAAAGGCCAGCCUUUGUCUUCCUUAUGCAGAGUGCCACCUGCUUUUCUGUACCAGCAGCCUCCGUCUCUUUACAGAGCCACACAGAGCUGGAUGUGACUGCUGCAUCAUAUUGGAUUCCACUCUGGCCUUGUGUUGGUCGAUCUUUACCCCUUAGCCUUCAUCCAGAGGCAGCCCAAGAAAUAGCUCCGCAUAUCCUGUAUUCCGUUUUUGUAGGGCUAUUGUGGAGACUUGGUCCUCGUGUGAUUUAGGGUACCCAGAUGAAGCUCUGCAUGAAUGUUUAUUUCAGAAAUAGGUGUUAAAGAGAAGCUUUGCUGGGAGUUAUUUUCUCUCUACAAUAAAUAUUAGGCAAUUGAUGCUCCCCCACCCCCACUUCUGCUGCUUGGAAACCCAAAAGAAAAAACCUUGAGGAAAUAAAUGACUUAAACGGAGCAUCCAAUCUCUGGAAGCAUCAAGGGACAAGUAAGCUUCACCUUCUGUCGUGGAGACACUCGCAGCCGAGGGGGAGGUGGAGGGCCAGCGAAGGGCGGUGUCAGGAGGAAGAGCAUGCCGUGGGAGAGCCCAGCAGCCCUCAACAUUAUUUUCUCGAAGCCUUGACAUCUCCCUGGAAUGUAGGAUUUUCCUCCUCUAGAUUUUGGUGAUUGCAGACCAUCCUACAGCCAACCAACCCCCAAGUGUGUGAGCCACCCCAGCCAGGAUCAGCAGAGCCACCUGGAUGGCACACAGCUGACUGCAGAGGCGUGAAUGAGCCAAGACCAGCAGAACUCAAGAGUAAUAAUAAAUACUUAUUGUUUU